CUUGGUCAUUUAGAGGAAGUAAAAGUCGUAACAAGGUUUCCGUAGGUGAACCUGCGGAAGGAUCAUUACCGAACCGUCGACACGAGUUGUUGCUGGUCCUCAAAUGGGGGCAUGUGCACACUCUGUUUACUCAUCCACUCACACCUGUGCACCCACUGUAGUUCUGUGGCUUGGGGGGCUCUGUCCUCUUUGCUGUGGUUCUAUGUCUUUACACACACACUGUAAUAAAGUUUCAUGGAAUGCAUGACGCGUCUAACGCAAUACAAUACAACUUUCAGCAACGGAUCUCUUGGCUCUCGCAUCGAUGAAGAACGCAGCGAAAUGCGAUAAGUAAUGUGAAUUGCAGAAUUCAGUGAAUCAUCGAAUCUUUGAACGCACCUUGCGCCCUCUGGCUAUUCCAGAGGGCAUGCCUGUUUGAGUAUCAUGAACACCUCAACUCUCAUGGUUUUGCCGUGAUGAGCUUGGACUUUGGGGGUCUUGCUGGCCUGUGGUCAGCUCCUCUCAAACGAAUCAGCUUGCCAGUGUCUGGUGGCAUCACAGGUGUGAUAACUAUCUACGCUUGUGGUUUUCCACCAGGUAACCUUCAGUGAUGGAGGUUCGCUGGAGCUCAUAAAUGUCCCUCCUCAGCGAGGACAGCUUCUUGAAUGUUUGAUCUCAAAUCAGGUAGGGCUACCCGCUGAACUUAAGCAUAUCAAUAAGCGGAGGA
RNAcentral lists this ribosomal RNA (706 nucleotides) under uncultured Tomentella. RNAcentral's name for it is "eukaryotic LSU rRNA". The stretch from base 270 to 424 matches the Rfam family "5.8S ribosomal RNA". The record is from RNAcentral. Lineage: Eukaryota; Fungi; Basidiomycota; Agaricomycetes; Thelephorales; Thelephoraceae.